UACGAAGGGGGCUAGCGUUGUUCGGAAUUACUGGGCGUAAAGCGCGCGUAGGCGGUUUUGCAAGCCAGAGGUGAAAUGCCUGAGCUCAACUUAGGAAUUGCCUUUGGGACUGCGAGGCUUUGAGGACGGGAGAGGUGAGUGGAAUUCCCAGUGUAGAGGUGAAAUUCGUAGAUAUUGGGAAGAACACCGGUGGCGAAGGCGGCUCACUGGCCCGUUUCUGACGCUGCAGCGCGAAAGCUAGGGGAGCAAACGGG
RNAcentral lists this ribosomal RNA (254 nucleotides) under uncultured bacterium. RNAcentral describes it as "partial 16S ribosomal RNA". It matches the Rfam family "Bacterial small subunit ribosomal RNA", at positions 524 to 776 of the family's 1533-position model. The record is from RNAcentral.